This 408-nucleotide unclassified non-coding RNA is filed under the name uncultured Funneliformis. Its description in RNAcentral is "sequence contains 28S rRNA gene". The record is from RNAcentral. Lineage: Eukaryota; Fungi; Glomeromycota; Glomeromycetes; Glomerales; Glomeraceae.
AGUUAAACAGUACGUGAAAUUGUUGAAAGGGAAACGAUUGAAGUCAGUCAUACUAACGGGAAAUCAACCUCUUGAGUUUGGUCUCGUGGGUUUCGAAGAGUUUAAAAGCCUUCGGAUUUUCGAGAUUGGGCUCUUCUGGUGUACUUUCUCGUACGGUUAGUCAACAUCGGUUUUGAAUGUCAUAAAAUGACUGAAGGAAUGUGGCUUCGAUCUCGUAUUGAAGUGUUAUAACCUUUGGUAGAUGUGAUGUUUGAGACCGAGGAUUGCAACGGAUACCCUUCUGGGCUAUUCGUCUGAUCUCUGAAACGUUGCCUUGAUGUCGAAAGCUUGCUUAUGAUGUUAGGGUAUUACGGUCAAAAGGUUAGAACGGAUUAAAUUCGUUAAGGAUGUUGACGUAAUGACUUUAAA